This 497-nucleotide ribosomal RNA is filed under the name uncultured bacterium. RNAcentral describes it as "partial 16S ribosomal RNA". It matches the Rfam family "Bacterial small subunit ribosomal RNA", at positions 28 to 507 of the family's 1533-position model. The record is from RNAcentral.
GAUGAACGCUGGCGGCGUGCCUAAUACAUGCAAGUCGAGCGAACAGACGAGGAGCUUGCUCCUCUGACGUUAGCGGCGGACGGGUGAGUAACACGUGGAUAACCUACCUAUAAGACUGGGCUAACUUCGGGAAACCGGAGCUCAUACCGGAUAAUAUAUUGAACCGCAUGGUUCAAUAGUGAAAGACGGUUUUGCUGUCCCUUAUAGUUGGAUCCGCGCCGCAUUAGCUAGUUGGUAAGGUAACGGCUUACCAAGGCAACGAUGAGUAGCCGACCUGAGAGGUGGAUCGGCCACACUGGAACUGAGACACGGUCCAGACUCCUACGGGAGGCAGCAGUAGGGAAUUUUCCGCAAUGGGAGAAAGCUUGACGGAGCAACGCCGCGUGAGUGAUGAAGGUCUUCGGAUCGUAAAACUCUGUUAUUAGGGAAGAACAAAUGUGUAAGUAACUAUGCAAGUCUUGACGGUACCUAAUCAGAAAGCCACGGCUAACUACGUG